Molecule: ribosomal RNA, 24 nt
Filed under: Bensingtonia sp. CCFEE 5424
Lineage: Eukaryota; Fungi; Basidiomycota; Agaricostilbomycetes; Agaricostilbales; Kondoaceae
Description: partial 28S ribosomal RNA
Source: RNAcentral
AAUCUUUAUGACCUGAAAUCAAGU